GCCUUCGACCAAAUCACUCAAACACAUCCAAUCACGACAGAUCUUGGACGAUGAGGAGGAUUGAGCCUAGAUAAUUACUUGAAUGGGUGACCACGAAGCAUGACAGGUUGCUAUAGGCA
RNAcentral lists this ribosomal RNA (119 nucleotides) under Petromyzon marinus (sea lamprey). Lineage: Eukaryota; Metazoa; Chordata; Hyperoartia; Petromyzontiformes; Petromyzontidae. The record is from RNAcentral.